Molecule: unclassified non-coding RNA, 354 nt
Filed under: soil metagenome
Description: partial contains 5.8S ribosomal RNA, internal transcribed spacer 2, and large subunit ribosomal RNA
Rfam family: 5.8S ribosomal RNA (bases 1-120)
Source: RNAcentral
GAUGAAGAACGCAGCGAAAUGCGAUAAGUAGUGUGAAUUGCAGAAUUCAGUGAAUCAUCGAAUCUUUGAACGCACAUUGCGCCUCCUGGUAUUCCGGGAGGCAUGCCUGUUCGAGCGUCAUUAAAAUCACUCAAGCUUAGGUUUACCUAUUGCUUGGUCUUGGAGAUGGAAGCCAAUUUAUUGGAAUCCUCUUCGAAAUUCAAUGGCGAAGACCCUUGCUCUCCCAAGUGUAGUAAUAACUUAUGUCACUGAAGGAAGCGAGAAAUCUUCUGCCGUAACCCCCAUAUUUCCUAUGAUUGACCUCGGAUCAGGUAGGGAUACCCGCUGAACUUAAGCAUAUCAAUAAGCGGAGGA